This 1054-nucleotide ribosomal RNA is filed under the name uncultured Propionibacterium sp. Its description in RNAcentral is "bacterial SSU rRNA". It matches the Rfam family "Bacterial small subunit ribosomal RNA", at positions 332 to 1394 of the family's 1533-position model. The record is from RNAcentral. Lineage: Bacteria; Bacillati; Actinomycetota; Actinomycetes; Propionibacteriales; Propionibacteriaceae.
CAGAUUCCUACGGGAGGCAGCAGUGGGGAAUAUUGCACAAUGGGCGGAAGCCUGAUGCAGCAACGCCGCGUGCGGGAUGACGGCCUUCGGGUUGUAAACCGCUUUCGCCUGUGACGAAGCGUGAGUGACGGUAAUGGGUAAAGAAGCACCGGCUAACUACGUGCCAGCAGCCGCGGUGAUACGUAGGGUGCGAGCGUUGUCCGGAUUUAUUGAGCGUAAAGGGCUCGUAGGUGGUUGAUCGCGUCGGAAGUGUAAUCUUGGGGCUUAACCCUGAGCGUGCUUUCGAUACGGGUUGACUUGAGGAAGGUAGGGGAGAAUGGAAUUCCUGGUGGAGCGGUGGAAUGCGCAGAUAUCAGGAGGAACACCAGUGGCGAAGGCGGUUCUCUGGGCCUUUCCUGACGCUGAGGAGCGAAAGCGUGGGGAGCGAACAGGCUUAGAUACCCUGGUAGUCCACGCUGUAAACGGUGGGUACUAGGUGUGGGGUCCAUUCCACGGGUUCCGUGCCGUAGCUAACGCUUUAAGUACCCCGCCUGGGGAGUACGGCCGCAAGGCUAAAACUCAAAGGAAUUGACGGGGCCCCGCACAAGCGGCGGAGCAUGCGGAUUAAUUCGAUGCAACGCGUAGAACCUUACCUGGGUUUGACAUGGAUCGGGGGCGCUCAGAGAUGGGUGUGCCUCUUUUGGGGUCGGUUCACAGGUGGUGCAUGGCUGUCGUCAGCUCGUGUCGUGAGAUGUUGGGUUAAGUCCCGCAACGAGCGCAACCCUUGUUCACUGUUGCCAGCACGUUAUGGUGGGGACUCAGUGGAGACCGCCGGGGUCAACUCGGAGGAAAGUGGGGAUGACGUCAAGUCAUCAUGCCCCUUAUGUCCAGGGCUUCACGCAUGCUACAAUGGCUGGUACAGAGAGUGGCGAGCCUGUGAGGGUGAGCGAAUCUCGGAAAGCCGGUCUCAGUUCGGAUUGGGGUCUGCAACUCGACCUCAUGAAGUCGGAGUCGCUAGUAAUCGCAGAUCAGCAACGCUGCGGUGAAUACGUUCCCGGGCCUUGUACACACCGCC